GAAAGUCUUAUGACAGGAAGGGAACAAAUAUUCCAAAUCUUGAAGGAAGCUGAGGAUUCUCACAAGUGGAAGUAUGCAGAGACUACAUUCCAAGCCUGAGGAAUAUAUUGUCUAUAUGAAAACCUAGAGAGGACACUUAUCAUGGGGUCUACUGCAGCGGAAAUCGAGGAGCUGGAAAACACCUCUUUUAAGUACCUUAUAGGAGAACAGACUGAAAAAAUGUGGCAACAGCUGAAAGGAAUGGAGAGGGAGAUUGGAGAAAGAAAAUAGCAAUGAUGAUGCUCUACCUGCUUCCCAACAAAAAAAGAGGAUCAUUGAAAUAUUUUUAAAAGGAACAGUGGAGAGAAGAAAAACGUUCAGAUGGAAGCAGAGAAAUAGGACAAUUUUGAAUACUGUAUGAAUUUUAUAUUUCACUUCUUGACUGUUAAUAAUGUCCAGAGAUGGUUGGAAUUUAUCAACACAUACAAAACAAUAUCUUAAUCUGUUAAAUUAAGCGUUUGGACAGGAUUAUGUCUAACUCUAUGUUUAACUCUAAACCUCUGUGCCCUACUAAAUUUUUAUACUUAGAUUGGCAAUAAAUCUUCUUAUAUUUCUGAGUGGUGGUUGUUU
This 609-nucleotide long non-coding RNA is filed under the name Monodelphis domestica (gray short-tailed opossum). Its description in RNAcentral is "lncRNA (ENSMODG00000044886.1)". The record is from RNAcentral. Lineage: Eukaryota; Metazoa; Chordata; Mammalia; Didelphimorphia; Didelphidae.